CCAGCUGUGGGACGUGCAGAGGAAGGAAGUACAGGACGAGCUACAGCUCGGGCCUCCGCGGGUGGCUGUGAGCAUCAUGCAACCUCAUAGAUGCAGGCCGCUGGGUGUGGCACCUGGCACAGAGUGCGCGCUCGGUUCAGGUUGCUUAGCACUGCUGUUAUUCUCUUUAUGUGGUCCGUUUCCCCAUGACACACAAGACAGAAACAGCAGCCUCUUCGAAGGAGGAGGAUCAGCUUAACGAGAUAGACCUAUGUACAUCGAGAAGGAAAAAAAGAAAAAAAGAAGAAUCUAUUGUGAUUUUUAAUUGGAAUUGCAUGGAAUUUAGAGAUUGAUCUGGGGGAAAUGAAUGUGUUUCUGAUGGUGGAUAUACCCAUCUACGAAUAUUUUAUGUAUAUUCACAGAGAGAGAGAGAGGCAGAGACACAGGCAGAGGGAGAAGCAGGCUCCAUGCACCGGGAGCCCGACGUGGGAUUCGAUCCCGGGUCUCCAGGAUGGCGCCAAACCGCUGAGCCACCCAGGGAUCCCCUCUAAUGACCUUUUAAAUACCUACCUUAAGGUCCCCGGGUGGCUCAGCCGGUUGGGCAACUGACUCUUGAUUUCAGCCUGGGUCAUGAUCUCAGGGUCGUGGGAUUGAGCCCAAGUUGGGCUCCCUGCCCUGUGGGGAGUCGGCUUGAGGAUUCUUCCUCUCCCUCCCCUCCGCUCCUGCUUGCAUGUGCACCUAAUUUCUCUCUAUAUAUAAUGGGUAAAGAAAUCUUUAAAUAAAUACCUACCUUAGCUUAUCUUACAUUAAUGACAGUACUUUUAUUUGUUCAGUUCUAAGUAUUUUCUAAUUUGUAUUGUGAUUUCUUCUUAAGUCCAUGAUUUAGAAGUAUUUCAGACAUGAAUUUUAAAAAUCACUUAUUUAAUCUUCUACUUUUAAUUAAUUAUAUUAAAAAAAUAUGAUCUACCAGAUGUCAGUUCUUUCUUACUAGCCGAGAUUUACUUUGUGGUGUCAUGUGAAGCAAAAUUUUCUAAACAUUCCAUUUGCACUUGAGUAGAAUUUUUGUAUCUUAAUUGGCAAAUGCAGUGUACUGGAUAGGUUUCCCAAAUUUUCUAUAUCCCUAUAGAUUUGUUUUUAACAGCUUUAAUGAGGUAUAAUUUAAAUGCUAUAAAAUUCAAUGAUUUAAAAUUGCAUAAUUCAAUGAUUUUUAGUAAAUUUAUAAAUUGUGCAAACAUCACUACAGUAAUUUUAGAACAUUUCACCUUAAAAAGAUCUCUCCAGUCUGUUUGUAAUAAUCCCUGUUCCCAUCCUUAUUGAUUUGUGUAGGCUUGGUCCACCAGUUUCAGAGAGGCAUGAAUAUGAGAUGGCUUUGUCAAAUUUGUCUUUGUAAUACUGUAAAUUUUCACUUUUCACAUUUUAUAGCUAUUUUAUUAAAUACAUACAAGUUUAAAAUUGUCAUAUUUUGUAGACAAAUUGUUCAUUUGAUCAUUAUAUUGUAUCCAUCUCUAAAAAUUCCUUUUGUCUUAAGGCCAGUUUUGUUUGCUGUUACUCUAGCUACAACAACCUUCUUUGGGUUAAUAUUUACUUGAUAUAUCUUUUCCAUCACAUUAAUUUAAAUGUUCAUGUCUAUAAAUUAUAUGUAUAUCUGCUGGAAUCAAGACAUGUUGUAUUUAGUCUUUCUGUCUAAUCUGAUAAUCUCAGUCUUUUAAGAGGGAAGGUAAUACAUUUACAUUCAGUGUGACUGUUGCCAUAUUUGCUUUAUUUUUUUUUAAGAUUUUAUUUAUUUAUUCAUAGAGACACAGAGAGAGAGAGAGGCAGAGACACAGGCAGAGGGAGAA
This is a long non-coding RNA of Canis lupus familiaris (dog), 1817 nucleotides long. RefSeq lists it as uncharacterized. The transcript is spliced from 3 exons. The record is from RefSeq and is a predicted model, not a curated record. Lineage: Eukaryota; Metazoa; Chordata; Mammalia; Carnivora; Canidae.